RNAcentral lists this ribosomal RNA (439 nucleotides) under uncultured bacterium. RNAcentral's name for it is "partial 16S ribosomal RNA". It matches the Rfam family "Bacterial small subunit ribosomal RNA", at positions 338 to 795 of the family's 1533-position model. The record is from RNAcentral.
CCUACGGGUGGCAGCAGUGGGGGAUAUUGCACAAUGGACGCAAGUCUGAUGCAGCGAUGCCGCGUGAGGGAAGAAGGUCUUCGGGUUGUAAAGCUCUGUCUUUGGGGAAGAAAAUGACGGUACGCAUAGCCGCAGCUAUGGCUAACUACGUGACAGCAGGCGCGGUACUACGUCGGGAGCGACCGUUGUCCGGAAUUACUGGGUGAAAGGGGAGUGUAGGCGGGCGUGCAGGUUGAUGGGAAAAGCUACGGGUCAACCUGGGAGCUGCGUUUGAAACUUCCAGGCUUGAGUGUAGUAGAGGCAGGCGGAAUUCCGAGUGUAGCGGUGAAAUGCGUAGAUAUUAGGAGGAACACCAGUGGCGAAGGCGGCCUGCUGGGCGCAGACUGACGCUGAGGCUCGAAAGCGUGGGGAGCAAACAGGAUUAGAUACCCUGGUAGUC